This 752-nucleotide ribosomal RNA is filed under the name Vibrio parahaemolyticus. RNAcentral describes it as "partial 23S ribosomal RNA". It matches the Rfam family "Bacterial large subunit ribosomal RNA", at positions 2179 to 2925 of the family's 2925-position model. Lineage: Bacteria; Pseudomonadati; Pseudomonadota; Gammaproteobacteria; Vibrionales; Vibrionaceae. The record is from RNAcentral.
UGUGGAGCCGUCCUUGAAAUACCACCCUUGUAGUGUUGAUGUUCUAACGUCGACCCCUAAUCGGGGUUGCGGACAGUGCCUGGUGGGUAGUUUGACUGGGGCGGUCUCCUCCCAAAGAGUAACGGAGGAGCACGAAGGUGGGCUAAUCACGGUUGGACAUCGUGAGGUUAGUGCAAUGGCAUAAGCCCGCUUGACUGCGAGAAUGACAAUUCGAGCAGGUGCGAAAGCAGGUCAUAGUGAUCCGGUGGUUCUGAAUGGAAGGGCCAUCGCUCAACGGAUAAAAGGUACUCCGGGGAUAACAGGCUGAUACCGCCCAAGAGUUCAUAUCGACGGCGGUGUUUGGCACCUCGAUGUCGGCUCAUCACAUCCUGGGGCUGAAGUCGGUCCCAAGGGUAUGGCUGUUCGCCAUUUAAAGUGGUACGCGAGCUGGGUUUAGAACGUCGUGAGACAGUUCGGUCCCUAUCUGCCGUGGGCGUUGGAAGAUUGAAGGGGGCUGCUCCUAGUACGAGAGGACCGGAGUGGACGAACCUCUGGUGUUCGGGUUGUGUCGCCAGACGCAUUGCCCGGUAGCUAAGUUCGGAAUCGAUAACCGCUGAAAGCAUCUAAGCGGGAAGCGAGCCCUGAGAUGAGUCUUCCCUGAUACUUUAAGUAUCCUAAAGGGUUGUCGGAGACUACGACGUUGAUAGGUCAGGUGUGUAAGUGCUGUGAGGCAUUGAGCUAACUGAUACUAAUUGCCCGUGAGGCUUAACCAU